CUUUAAACCCCGGGCGGGGCGGGGCUGCUCCCGUGACUCCUUUGAAAGGCAGGUCCCGGGCAUUGCUGGGCACAGGGGUAGCUGGCUGAGAUUGAAAGUGGUUGUUAACAAUAACUAUAAUAAUAAUUGUAAUAAUUAAUGAUUAAUAAUGAUAGCUAAUAAUUAUAAUAGUAAGGAUAAUAAUAAUGAUCAAUAACAACAUGGAGACUCUUGAGGAGGAGCGAGGGUUGUUGGCACCGUGCAGCGAACCAUUUGGAAAGGACCAGGUAGAUUAUAACGAGCCUCGAAGUCGGCUGACUCCCUCGGCGCUGCCGCGGUUGCCAGGCAGGUGGCUUUAAACUUUGGGUGGAGCGGGAAUAAAGGGAGGGGCAAGCGCCCCAGUGCACACCGCGGGGUCCGCUCCUGAUGGCCGGUCUGAGGGGGCGAGCCGUGAUUCUCAACCGGGCGCCAUGAGAUCUUUCUAAGGGUGCCGCUCCCUCCAUGUCGGCAUCGUUAGGUGUGCCAACGCCAACCCUAACGCUGAUCUCGCAAGAUAAGAUCAACCCCGAGACUUGCAAUAGGAGUUCAGAGAGUCGAGGACGUUGUGCCCUGCUGCGAGCUUCCUGCAGCCUUUGGCACAGAAGACUUGCUCUGGUAUUUUUCAAGAGUCAAAAAGGGAGUGAAAGCGAAGAGCUGGCAUUUUCCAAAGGAAGCCCAGAGUGCGAGAAAGCGGAGGCCGAACCGUUGGCCUGAAAGGUGACGUUUCAUAGCACUUGCAGGACUGGCUAAUGUUAGCCGUUAACUUCUGAUAUCCUCACUCGUGCACGUCCAGUCUCUUUGUGAAUGUGCUAAACUCUUGACCGGUGUCCUGCGUGGCGGCCACGAGUUCCACAGCAUGAAAAAAUGCGUUUUCAAUCUCUUACUGCUUCAUUUGAUCAGAUGCCCCUUUGUUCUCAUAUCGGAGAAUAGCAGGUUUUCACCAUUUGUCAUUUAAUGUACUUUUUCUCUUAAGUGGAUCAUAUAAGUGUCAUGUUCUACGUGCCCGGUGCCUAGGUCACUGGGGAAGACCCAAGUUCAAGUCCUGUCUCUGAGUAAUGCAGGCUAGAGUGUUUCAAACUAGUUCACUCCUAACUGAGGCAGAGCAGAAUUUCCCAUACCGCAAACCAGCAUCGUAAUUGCCCUGCUAUGAUGUCCGCCUCUUUCAUUUCUGAUUAAUGUUUUGGCUUCACUGAAACAUUCUGUUUUGACAAAAUAUGCUGAAAUUGCUCCCAGCCUGUAUCAAUCCCUCUUAAUCUUCAUCUUUUUACAAUAAACAAUCCCGUCUUUCCAUUUUCUCAUCAGACAGGACUUUUUUCCAGGCCCUUUGUCAUUCUUGUUGCCCUGCUUUGAACCCACACUCAUCUUGCAAAAUUUUUUCAGUAACGAUGUGAGUUGGACUGAACCCGGUAUUCUUGAUAAUGCCAUGCCCUUGCUUUACAGAAUACUGUUAAAUAUUUUGUCUUAUUCUCAGUGACUAUAGCGGUUACAACAUGGUACCUUAACUGCACCUGAAAGGCAUAUCUGGUUCGAAGAACUGCUAGCCUUAGGCCACUUAACACAGUAUGCCAAAAUCCAUCUUGCUAAUCCUUCCAUAGAUAUAUAUAUUGCCACACUGGAUUUACACUUCAUUCCCACAGUCUCUUCCAUCGUGAGUUUGAGGCGCUCAGACUAGGCACCUGCUGGGUAUAUAACAACACUCGGCUUAAUAAUAUGGGAUAUACUGGUGGAUCUAAGAGCAGAUCUACCAGGGCUGCAAUAAUCAUGAAAACGUUACUUGACCUGUGUGAUUUCACCGAGGGCUGUUACAUUUGGAGUGAAAUCAGAUUCUGAUCGAUGGUGUUCCUGGAUAUGUUUUAUGCAAAAAAAGUCAUAAUAUUGCCAUGUUAACGAAAGCCUCAGCCCUACAAUGAAUGUCAUAUGGGCAAAUCCCAGCGCUCACGUGGAGCUUGAUUCAGGAUCAGAACUCGGGUUUAAUUAUUAAACAAAGUCUCUGCCAGAAAAGACAAAUUUCUCUGCAUCUUUGUUUGGAUGCAUUUCACAGCCUAAUCAUCCACUUAUUUCAGGCCUUAUCCAUGUUAACUCCUUUCAUUCACACACAUUAACCCCUCCAUUGGUCACAAACAAAAUUUUCAUGUUUACUGUUUUUUGUUGUGUUUUUUAAAGAGUACUUGGGUUAUGACAUCUGUCCUGCUCCAGGCGCAGUCCUUUACACUGCGCCAAAUUAUGAGCAGAACAAAUCAAAAUAGGAGUUGACAUCCGCUUUGGGCAGAUGUAAAUGAUUGCACGUGGUGAAGGGUGGUAAAGACUUAUAGCGCUCAACAUACUCCCUUUUGAAAAUGAAAGUUUGUGUGGGGGGUUUUUUGUUUUUUUUUUGCUUAAUAAAUAGAUUUGUACUGUCUCUAGUGGGUUAUGGAAUAGAGAAAAUCCCACACAAUUUACUGAUUCAUUUUGAUGCACUGGCUGGGGGAGUAGUUAGUUGAUUGCAUGAUUUCACAAUGAUUACACACUUAAUUCAUUCUAAUUUUAUUUUAAAAUUCUUUGCUACGUAUAUUACACUGCUUAGCUUUAAGAAAUACCACAAACAUUAAGAACACAAUAAUUACAUAUAUCAGAAACAAUGCUCCAAAUGCACUUCCUUCCCAAACAAUGCUAUAAGAAUUAGUAUAACAAAAACAACUACAAUUACAACUAAAAGUUAAAUUUGAAUCAGUACUAUUAUUUUUCAUAAUAUACUUACAAUCCUAGAAUUCCGAGAAGCCAAACACCUAAAUAUGGUUUCAUUCCUCAGUAGUACAAUUUAAUGGGUUGGCCUCAGUAGUACGGUUCAAUGGGCUCACCUCAGCUAUACGAUUCAAUGGGCUGGCCUCAAUACUGGUAGGACUAAGUCCCCUUCUUUCAGUCCCUUUUGGGUGCUCUGCAGCUUCAGCGUGAACUAAGAGAUUCGUGUUCACGGAGAGGGUGGUUCAGGUGAUCAGUCUGAUCCGGCCUACACUUGCGAUUCUUCCUUCGUUGUUCUGCAAGUGAAGUCACCUCCAAAUUGGGACAGUAAGUUACAGUUUUUAUUGAGUGAGCUGCCGUCUUGGGCCACUCCUACUCAAACCUGUCAUUACCCCCAAACUUGGGCUCGGAUCUUACUCAACAGAUUCUUUUGCUUAGUAAUUAGUUUCUUUUGUUGAUCAUUUUAAUUACUUUGGGGAACUUCCAUACCACUGCAAGUGACCUUUUCUUGCCAAUCUUUCCAAAAGGCCCUAGGGUUUGAUCUCUCGGAACUCAGGAUAUUUGCUUAAAAGAUCAUUGUUAGGUUCUCUUUGUAAAAGACUUCUAAAGAUAAAAUUCAAGAGUUAAAACUUUAAGCAAAGUCUGGAUUUUUCACACGUAGUCCAAAACAAUGACCUAGAUAAGGAGAUAAAUCUUAUCUUCUUCCUAAAACUGGCUAAUGGGCAACCAUUACAAACAUUCAAACUAUUUCAUUCAAUAUGACAGUACAAGUAAUUUUCCUUGUAUUUAUGAAAACAAGUGAAUAUGGGCAGGUUGAAGCCUGUGCUCAUUUGUAACUUGCUGUCUGAUUUUGGAAAUGACUUGCCUGUAGUAGGAGACAGUACUGUUUUAGCUGAAGUGCCAUACACAGUCAUUCUUUUGAGUUUAGUGUCUAAAAUAAAUAUCAUAGUCUUAGCUGCUCUGGAAUCUAACAGCCAUUAUCAGAUGCACUUGAAUUUUUAUCAGAAACAAAAAGCUCCACUGUCGCUUCCCUAAUACGUCAUUUUCCUAAAUUAGAUGCAAUAUAAUUUGAAUAUAGCUCCCUGUAGUCAAUAAAAACCUUUCACUGCUCUACAAAAGGUUAGGGGAAUCUCAACCACAGAGACAUGAGAUCCAUUUAAGGGUGCUGUGGAAUAUUAGGUAUGCAAACACUUAUACAUGAUUCAUAAGAGAAAACCAGAGAUUUCAAAUAAGAAUCCAUAGUAUCAAAAACAUUCUGACCUGUUUAGUCUUUCUGAGUUCUUUGCAAUGAAAGAAUUGCUCUCUCAUUUUUCUGCAGUCAAGAGUGAAAGCUGAAAGCUGGCAUUUUCCAAGGGAUGCCUUGAACCUAAAAAGGUUGAAAACUACUGUUCUAGAGAUGUAGUUUUCUAACACCUUUAUUUUUUAUCAAAGAUGAUAUAGGUUAAGAGUACCAAUUGCUCUGAUCUUUUUUUAACCCUCUAUUAGAAACUUUCCAUCAUCCACUUACCUGCUUAGGAUUUAAUCUGUUCAAAAUUUCCCCACACUUAAGAAGUAUAGUGACACUGUUUCCCUUGAACACUGUAGAAACAUUGCUUUUACUCACUAAUAUUUUACAAUUCAUGCUUUUAGCCCUCAGGGCCUUUUCGUGAAAACCUCCUGUUUUCAUCUUCUCAGGUCUCACACUAUGCCCAAAACUAAAGUAGUUGCUUAACCUACCUACACCCUCUAAAAUCUCCUAUUGCAGAAUAAAUUGUAUUAAUUAAAGAGCUUCAUGAAAUCUUCUGUUAUUUUCAGGUAGCUUAAAAUGAUACCGAAACCCACUGCAAAUGUGAGCUUUCACAUGAGCAUUCAUUGACUUUGCUCUGAGCUUUCACAUGAGCAUUCAUACUCAGCAUUUUCCUGAGGGAUGUCUAUUUUUUUUUUGCAAGUUUAGAGUACACCAGUAAGUGUAAUAGUUUUUUCUUGCUAGUGCUAAUGAUUGAUGAGCACCCAGUAGCUAAUAGUUAACACCCAGGGAGGGAUUAAAAACAAUCGAGGGAUGUCACUCAGAAUUUCCUUGGAAAGUGACUCUGUCUGGGGGUUUGGCCAGUGUCACUAACAGUUUAGUCAUUAAAUAUUUGGGACACACUUUCAGCUGUAUUUGACAUGGAUUGCUUUAUACAGUCUGCUCUUAGUCCUUUAAACACUUAUGCACGUAGCUUCUCACAGUCGUACUUAUUUAGCUCUGGGAUAUUGUACAGUUAUACACACAUGUAUAAAAUGUAUACAGGCACGUAAGUGUUUUAUUGGACUGAUAUAUAAACCAGUCCAAGUGCCAGAUGAAAAUGUAAGGAAUUGGGAUUCUUUGCUUCUAUGGUAGAAAUCUAAUCACUACAAAUUUUGCAGUUCAUGUUGAUUUUCAGUGUGAUUUAAUACAUUCUGACAUAUGGUACACAGCCAGAUAAGAAAACCUGGUGUGUUGGCUAUAAAGAGUCAUCCCUGUGAUAUUUCUCUCUACAUGCAGUAUUAAUUGUAACUUUGUGCCAAGAUUAGGUCAUGCCAAACAUUAAACCUGGACCUGUCAUCCUUCUGCAUCUCGGUAACAAUGUGCAAUGUAGUUAUUCAAGAGAAGCAUCAACACGCAGGGGAAAGGACACUUACAAACCACAAGGUAGUAAAGAGAGAAGCUAAAAUAACUAGUUUGAAAUUACUCUAAACAAUUAAAUACCAUUUCUGAACAAGACUACAAAGAUAGUGUACAGCAGUAGGGUAUGUACUUGAAAGCUGAAACCCUUAUUCUCAUCUAUAUUCCUUUGAUCUUAGGUCACCGCUAUACCUGCUUAGCUGUCCUGUUGCCUUCCAUUCAUUUCUCACUCAUCUUCUGGUCAAAUCUUUUGCUCAUUUGUUUGAAGCUAUCUUUUUUUUUGCAAGUCCACGUCUGUCCAUAGUGCUGCCUUGGUCUUUAACCCUUAACGGUGGGACAGCAUGGGCUUUAGAUGCAUAUUCAGCUCCAGAUUGGUUUUCUCCCUGCAGUGAUAUGGAUGAACUGGCCAUUUUUGUUUGAUUGAAAAGAGGGAUAUAAGAGAACGUUAUAAAGACAUUUUUAUUCAUUGUAAUUUCAUAAGUUUGGGUAAACUAGUAAGCUGCUCUCUACUCUGUCCUACUUCUGUGGGGGGGGUUACCCUCCCCUUCAAUGACUUCAGGAUUUUGGGGUUUGUUCUUUUUUUUUUUUUUUGCUUGUUUAGUUUUUUCAAAACCAAACCAAACAUUGAGCUGACUUCCCUCUUUAUUCACAGUGCUGCCAACUCUGUACAAGUUAAGGUAAGUACUCAAACCUGUUAGUAAAACUUGCCAGUAUCCUUUCAAUGCCAAGCCAAAUAUGGCAUUUGUGAAUAUAAAUCCUGUCUUUGGCAGCUAGUCCCCCUGAAACUGAAAGUCGUUGAGCAUCUUAGGCUAUCUAACACCAACCAACUGCUAAUACUGGGCCAUUAGGAAGCAGCUGUGUAACUCCAAAAAUGGAAUUAUACCUGAGUUACUUAAUGUUGCUGAAGCUCAACCCUGCACUGGUGCACCACAAAAUCUAUAUAAUAAGCACCACAUAGCCCCAGUUUAAGGACUGUUGCUAUACAACACCCCAUUCAAUCCCUAUAAUCCUCUAAUUUGAGUUUGGUUUCACUGAAUUACAAGGAGCAUAUUGGUACAUUUGGCAACUCUUACAGUAUAAGAAUGUUUUGAUGAUAAAAUGGCUUAGAGGAUCAUUAAUUACACCUGAAGUUUAUACGAAAUCACUAGUUCCCAUCUAAAUCCCACUGAGUCAUAUGAUAACAGUUUAUAUAAGAACAGCAUAGAUUCAUAGAUGUUAGGGUCGGAAGGGACCUCAACAGACCAUCAAGUCCGACCCCCUGCCUAGGCAGGAAAGAGCGCUGGGGUCAGAUGACCCCAGCCAGAUGCCAAUCCAUCUUUUAUCACAAAGCAUUUUAAAGACAGAAUUAAUUAAGCUACCCGGUCACCUGACAGGGAGGCCCACAUCCUACAUCACAGCUCAGCUGACUGAACCACAGAGAGGUUUGAUAACCAGUUCACUGGUUUUUAAAUUCUUUGGUGCAGGAACCUUAUCUUCCUGUGUGUUUCUGUGACCACAGGCUCAAGAGGAUCCUUGUCCAAUUUAGGAUGAAACACUGGAAAAUACUUGCUCAGUUGCUUUGAUGCCAUGUUACAUCCCUUCUCAUUCUUCAUUUCUGCUUUUGCUUGUCUAGAUUAUAUCUUAUCCAAGGCGGGGCGUCUUAUCUUUGUUCCUGUCUGUAAAGCAGAGAACAUGCAUCUCUUGUUACAUUAACAAGAAUAAGAGGAGCCAAAGUGUGAAUAGAGCUUAGAGGUCUCCUGCUCUAAGCAUUAGAUGCACUCUGUUAGGGGAUGUUUUCAAGAUAAGCUGACAGCAUUAGGUGUAGCUUUUUUGAACUGGAGCAGGGUGUUGUCAGGCUGCAGGUGUUCUGUGCACUUAAUAUUGUUAGACAUUAGUAUUUUACAGCAAUCUGGUUGCGCAGGUAAAGCCAGCUAGAUAUACAGAUGACUAAUGUGGAAAGCUGCCUUAAUGGACAUUCCUAAAAGCAAGGCACCCGUGGAAAAAAACAGCUGUGUUUCCUUCCUCCUCCUCCUGCCAACACGGAUGCAGCUAUAUGGUGAUUGUGCCAGAGCUCAGAAAAAAUGAGUAAGAAAAGUUACAAGUCUCCACCAUUGCGACAGCCAGAAGCCUACAUUAAAAUCUAAAGAAAACUGAGAUUCUUAUGAAAUUACCUGACACCAAGAGGGGGCGGGCUUUAAGGAAAACAUUGAAUAUCACAAGACUGGCAAUAAAAUUGUGACAGCUG
This is a long non-coding RNA of Alligator mississippiensis (American alligator), 7583 nucleotides long. RefSeq lists it as uncharacterized. The record is from RefSeq and is a predicted model, not a curated record. NCBI's taxonomy places the organism in Eukaryota, Metazoa, Chordata, Crocodylia, Alligatoridae. The transcript is spliced from 2 exons.